CUCUCUCCCCCCUCUCUCUCUCUCUCCCCCCUCUCUCUCUCCUCUCCAUGGCAUCAGUGGGAGGGAAUCAGUUGCUCAGCAGGAAUGUGGUUAUUUGUGGUUGAGUUUUACUACCAUCUCAUUUAGUGGUGUUUAAUGUUGACGUGUGGAGUGACUGUAGAUCACUGAGAGGCCUAGCUAUGCGUGGGAGGUGUGUGUGUGUGUGUGUGUGUGUGUGUGUGUGUGUGUGUGUGUGUGUUACUGUGCCAGUGCGAGGUGCGAGCGCAGCGUAAUCCAGUCCCCCUAAUGACCAUACACAGCAGCCGUACUGCCAGUGAACUAACCCAGAAACCAGAUAAAGCUUUUCAUUUUGAAACGCUACAUCACAGUAAUUAAAUGUCCAGUUAUCAGUACAGUCAAGAUACAGCACUUUUCCCCUUCACACAGUGUAGAGAAGUACAGUUCAGGACUCUACGUUCAGUCUCUAGACAAGACAACAUGGCGAAUGAGACAGUCAGGUUUCCAAUCGAGUUCUGUGGGCCUUGGAAUGAGGCAGAGAGAGGCAGAGAGGCAGAAGGAGGCAGAGAGAGGCAGAGAGAGGCAGAGAGAGGCAGAGGGAGGCAGAGGGAGGCAGAAGGAGGCAGAAGGAGGCAGAAAGAGGCAGAAGGAGGCAGAAGGAGGCAGAAGGAGGCAGAGAGAGGCAGAGAGAGGCAGACUGAGGCAGAGAGAGGCAGAGGGAGGCAGAGAGGCAGAGGGAGGCAGAGAGGCAGAGGGAGGCAGAGAGGCAGAGGGAGGCAGAAGGAGGCAGAGAGAGGCAGAGAGAGGCAGAAGGAGGCAGAGAGAGGCAGAGAGGCAGAGGGAGGCAGAGGGAGGCAGAGAGAGGCAGAAGGAGGCAGAAGGAGGCAGAGAGAGGCAGAGAGAGGCAGAGGGAGGCAGAGAGGUUAUUCUGUAGUGACUAUUCUGUAGUGACUAUACUGUAGUG
Molecule: long non-coding RNA, 961 nt
Filed under: Salmo salar (Atlantic salmon)
Lineage: Eukaryota; Metazoa; Chordata; Actinopteri; Salmoniformes; Salmonidae
Description: lncRNA (ENSSSAG00000118100.1)
Source: RNAcentral